RNAcentral lists this ribosomal RNA (468 nucleotides) under uncultured bacterium. RNAcentral's name for it is "partial 16S ribosomal RNA". It matches the Rfam family "Bacterial small subunit ribosomal RNA", at positions 28 to 507 of the family's 1533-position model. The record is from RNAcentral.
GACGAACGCUGGCGGCGUGCUUAACACAUGCAAGUCGAACGGAAAGGCCCUGCUUUUGUGGGGUGCUCGAGUGGCGAACGGGUGAGUAACACGUGAGUAACCUGCCCUUGACUUUGGGAUAACUUCAGGAAACUGGGGCUAAUACCGGAUAGGAGCUCCUGCUGCAUGGUGGGGGUUGGAAAGUUUCGGCGGUUGGGGAUGGACUCGCGGCUUAUCAGCUUGUUGGUGGGGUAGUGGCUUACCAAGGCUUUGACGGGUAGCCGGCCUGAGAGGGUGACCGGCCACAUUGGGACUGAGAUACGGCGCAGACUCCUACGGGAGGCAGCAGUGGGGAAUAUUGCGCAAUGGGCGGAAGCCUGAUGCAGCAACGCCGCGUGCGGGAUGACGGCCUUCGGGUUGUAAACCGCUUUCGCCUGUGACGAAGCGUGAGUGACGGUAAUGGGUAAAGAAGCACCGGCUAACUACGUG